This 520-nucleotide ribosomal RNA is filed under the name Potamon ibericum. Its description in RNAcentral is "partial 16S ribosomal RNA". It matches the Rfam family "Archaeal large subunit ribosomal RNA", at positions 1911 to 2668 of the family's 2987-position model. Lineage: Eukaryota; Metazoa; Arthropoda; Malacostraca; Decapoda; Potamidae. The record is from RNAcentral.
GUCUAUUUGAUGAUAUAAAUAGUCUGGCCUGCCCACUGAUUUAGAUAUUAAAGGGCCGCGGUAUUUUUAACCGUGCAAAGGUAGCAUAAUCAUUAGGUUUUUAAUUAGAAUCUUGUAUGAAUGGUUCGACAAAAGAAAUACUGUCUUUAUAUUAAAUUUUGAAUUUAACUUUUAAGUGAAAAGGCUUAAAUAUAUUAAAGGGACGAUAAGACCCUAUAAAACUUUACAUUGUAGUUUUAUUUAAUUGAAUUUGUGAAAUAAAGAUUUAAUUUAAUUAUAUGUUAUGUUGGGGAGACAAAGGUAAAAUAAAUUUUAACUGCUUUAUGUUAAAACAUAUAUUUAUGGAUAUAUUAAAAGAUCCUUUAUAAAGAUUAAAAGAUUAAGUUACUUUAGGGAUAACAGCGUUAUUUUUUUUGAGAGUUCCUAUCGAAAAGAGAGUUUGCGACCUCGAUGUUGAAUUAAAAUAUCUUUAUAGUGCAGAAGCUAUAAAAGAAGGUCUGUUCGACCUUUAAAUUUUUAC